RNAcentral lists this RNase P RNA (368 nucleotides) under Deltaproteobacteria bacterium. RNAcentral describes it as "RNase P RNA component class A". It matches the Rfam family "Bacterial RNase P class A". Rfam says of the family: Ribonuclease P (RNase P) is a ubiquitous endoribonuclease, found in archaea, bacteria and eukarya as well as chloroplasts and mitochondria. Its best characterised activity is the generation of mature 5'-ends of tRNAs by cleaving the 5'-leader elements of precursor-tRNAs. The record is from RNAcentral. Lineage: Bacteria; Pseudomonadati; Myxococcota; Myxococcia.
GGAGUUCGGCGGAUGGUCGCUGGGCCCUUCGGCCUGGAGGAAAGUCCGGACUUCACAGGGCAACGAUGCUGGCUAACGGCCAGGCGGGGCGACCCGACGGAAAGUGCCACAGAGAGCAGACCGCCCGCGCUGCGCGCGGGUAAGGGUGAAAGGGUGCGGUAAGAGCGCACCGCGCGACCGGUGACGGUCGUGGCAAGGCAAACCCCAUCGGAAGCAAGAGCAAAUAGGGAGGCAUCGCGGCCCCGGACCGGGGCCGCACGGGGCGGCCCGUCCCGGUCUCCGGGUGAGCUCGCUCGAGGGCGCCGGCAACGGCGCUCCCAGAUGAAUGACCAUCGAAACAGAAUCCGGCUUACGGCCGGACUCCCGAG